AACGUAGGAGGCAAGCGUUAUCCGGAGUUACUGGGCGUAAAGCGUGCGUAGGCGGGUUGGUAAGUGGGUGGUGAAAGCGCUCGGCUAAACCGGGCGAGUGCCAUCCAGACUGCCAGUCUAGAGGCGGAUAGAGGGGUGCGGAAUUCCGGGUGUAGCGGUGAAAUGUGUAGAGAUCCGGAGGAACACCAGUGGUGCAAACGGCGCCCUGGGUCCGAACUGACGCUGAGGCACGAAAGCGUGGGGAGCGAACGGG
Molecule: ribosomal RNA, 253 nt
Filed under: uncultured bacterium
Lineage: Bacteria
Description: partial 16S ribosomal RNA
Rfam family: Bacterial small subunit ribosomal RNA
Source: RNAcentral